RNAcentral lists this long non-coding RNA (1142 nucleotides) under Anas platyrhynchos platyrhynchos (common mallard). Its description in RNAcentral is "lncRNA (ENSAPLG00000028022.1)". Lineage: Eukaryota; Metazoa; Chordata; Aves; Anseriformes; Anatidae. The record is from RNAcentral.
AAGAGAUCUCCCUAAGUUGCCAUUUCAUUAUGAGGUUAAAACUGCAUUGGAACACUUCUGCUCACAUCUAAUAAAUAAGCAGACAGAAUACCUAAGCUACUGGCGUUCUCUGCUCAGUGCCCUGCAGCUGCUGAAAAUAAUGAUACAGCCCCAAAGUCACCCUGUAUAUUGGGAUGAGCUAUGCAACACACUUGGUCCUUUCUUAGCUGUACUGAAUAGUUUAGCCACUAGAAAAUUUCAUCCUUCAACAGCCUCUGAUAAUGGUGAUCAACAUAGUAAUUUAUUUUCUGUCAGCAUAACUGAAGUUCUUUUCCUUAUAGGGAAGGCAAAAGAAAUGUGGAUACCUUAUAGGAGAUAACUGGAAGACUGGUGUUUGGAGAGAGAAUAGCCGAAGAUGAAGCUCUGUGGGCAGUUCUGAUUACAGACAAAGCAAGAAAGGCAGUGUACUUCCAGCCCCUUAUGAUUCUAAAGAGCUCUGUUGAAUAACAGACUGCACCGUCUCCAUCAAAGAUCCAUGAAGGUGAAUGCUUCACUGCCAGAAAUACUUAUUUAUAUAUGUGUAUUCUGAACCAUAAAGAGAACUAGGGCUUAUUACAGUCUUUGCUUUAAUCUUUACUUUAAUUUUUGAACAGCUAGGUGGUGCUGCUUGAAUAUUUAGUAUUUAUUUACUAUUUAGUAUCAUAAUGUUAAGUUGAAGAUGUUAACUCAGAUGUAUCAGAUACAGAGAAAAUGCAAAUUUAUUGCAUGUCCCAAAUGGAUUAUAAUGGAAGUAAAAGGGUACACAUUCUCUGCACUUCACCUACUUCUUCAUUCUGUUAGGCCUGGUAAAGCCGCAGCUGUAUUGUUUCCAAUACUCAAAUGAACUAAUUAAAAAUUUGUAGUGUUUUUGUUGUGUAAUACUCUGUGAUGUAGUUACACGUGUGAAAGUGAUGAUGAUGGAGAGACACUGAGAGGUGUCAGUGAGCUGGGCCAGAAUAGGAGGCAAUGAGCAGACGAAGCUGCUGAGCUGUUCUUUGAAUGGUCACAGCAACAGGGGGUUAUAAAUAGGAUGUAAUAGGCAAUGUAAAACAGUGAAAUAGGUGUGUGUAGGGGGGCACAAUGGGAGAAAUUUUGGAGAAAUAUCCCUAUUGAGUAAUGUAAGA